AGUGAACGCUGGCGGUAGGCCUAACACAUGCAAGUCGAACGGCAGCACAGUAAGAGCUUGCUCUUACGGGUGGCGAGUGGCGGACGGGUGAGGAAUACAUCGGAAUCUACUUUUUCGUGGGGGAUAACGUAGGGAAACUUACGCUAAUACCGCAUACGACCUACGGGUGAAAGCAGGGGAUCUUCGGACCUUGCGCGAUUGAAUGAGCCGAUGUCGGAUUAGCUAGUUGGCGGGGUAAAGGCCCACCAAGGCGACGAUCCGUAGCUGGUCUGAGAGGAUGAUCAGCCAAACUGGAACUGAGACACGGUCCAGACUCCUACGGGAGGAAGCAGUGGGGAAUAUUGGACAAUGGGGGAAAGCCUGAUCCAGCCAUACCGCGUGGGUGAAGAAGGCCUUCGGGUUGUAAAGCCCUUUUGUUGGGAAAGAAAAGCAGCAGGUUAAUACCCCGCUGUUCUGACGGUACCCAAAGAAUAAGCACCGGCUAACUUCGUG
RNAcentral lists this ribosomal RNA (492 nucleotides) under uncultured bacterium. Its description in RNAcentral is "partial 16S ribosomal RNA". It matches the Rfam family "Bacterial small subunit ribosomal RNA", at positions 29 to 507 of the family's 1533-position model. The record is from RNAcentral.